RNAcentral lists this ribosomal RNA (447 nucleotides) under uncultured bacterium. RNAcentral's name for it is "bacterial SSU rRNA". It matches the Rfam family "Bacterial small subunit ribosomal RNA", at positions 355 to 825 of the family's 1533-position model. The record is from RNAcentral.
UCGGGAAUUUUGGGCAAUGGGGGAAACCCUGACCCAGCAACGCCGCGUGAAGGAUGAAGUAUUUCGGUAUGUAAACUUCGAAAGAAUAGGAAGAAUAAAUGACGGUACUAUUUAUAAGGUCCGGCUAACUACGUGCCAGCAGCCGCGGUAAUACGUAGGGACCAAGCGUUGUUCGGAUUUACUGGGCGUAAAGGGCGCGUAGGCGGCAUGACAAGUCACUUGUGAAAUCUCUGGGCUUAACCCAGAACGGCCAAGUGAUACUGUCGCGCUAGAGUGCAGAAGGGGCAAUCGGAAUUCUUGGUGUAGCGGUGAAAUGCGUAGAUAUCAAGAGGAACACCUGAGGUGAAGACGGGUUGCUGGGCUGACACUGACGCUGAGGCGCGAAAGCCAGGGGAGCAAACGGGAUUAGAUACCCAGGUAGUCCCUGAGCGGGCUGGCAAGGCGCAU